ACUCCUACGGGAGGCAGCAGUGAGGAAUAUUGGUCAAUGGGCGAGAGCCUGAACCAGCCAAGUCGCGUGAAGGAAGAAGGAUCUAUGGUUCGUAAACUUCUUUUUUAAGGGAAUAAAGUGAGCCACGUGUGGCUUUUUGCAUGUACCUUACGAAUAAGGAUCGGCUAACUCCGUGCCAGCAGCCGCGGUAAUACGGAGGAUCCGAGCGUUAUCCGGAUUUAUUGGGUUUAAAGGGUGCGCAGGCGGGAUAUUAAGUCGGCGGUGAAAGUUUGCAGCUUAACUGUAAAAUUGCCGUUGAUACUGGUAUCCUUGAGUGUAUAUGAAGUAGGCGGAAUUUGUAGUGUAGCGGUGAAAUGCAUAGAUAUUACAAGGAACUCCGAUUGCGAAGGCAGCUUACUAAAAUACAACUGACGCUUAGGCACGAAGGCGUGGGGAUCAAACAGGAUUAGAUACCCUGGUAGUC
This 463-nucleotide ribosomal RNA is filed under the name uncultured bacterium. RNAcentral's name for it is "bacterial SSU rRNA". It matches the Rfam family "Bacterial small subunit ribosomal RNA", at positions 335 to 795 of the family's 1533-position model. The record is from RNAcentral.